UACAGAGGGUGCAAGCGUUAAUCGGAAUUAUUGGGCGUAAAGAGCUCGUAGGCGGUUUGUCGCGUCUGCCGUGAAAGUCCGGGGCUUAACCCCGGAUCUGCGGUGGGUACGGGCAGACUAGAGUGCAGUAGGGGAGACUGGAAUUCCUGGUGUAGCGGUGAAAUGCGCAGAUAUCAGGAGGAACACCGAUGGCGAAGGCAGGUCUCUGGGCUGUAACUGACGCUGAGGAGCGAAAGCAUGGGGAGCGAACAGG
RNAcentral lists this ribosomal RNA (253 nucleotides) under uncultured bacterium. RNAcentral describes it as "partial 16S ribosomal RNA". It matches the Rfam family "Bacterial small subunit ribosomal RNA", at positions 524 to 776 of the family's 1533-position model. The record is from RNAcentral.